GCCUCGCUGCCCCUCCGCCUUCUCUUCCCGGUUCUUCCCGGAGUCGGGAAAAGCUGGGUUGAGAGGGCGAAAAAGGAUGAGGG
Ictidomys tridecemlineatus (thirteen-lined ground squirrel) is the source of this 83-nucleotide microRNA precursor. NCBI's taxonomy places the organism in Eukaryota, Metazoa, Chordata, Mammalia, Rodentia, Sciuridae. The record is from Ensembl.